RNAcentral lists this ribosomal RNA (253 nucleotides) under uncultured bacterium. RNAcentral's name for it is "partial 16S ribosomal RNA". It matches the Rfam family "Bacterial small subunit ribosomal RNA", at positions 524 to 776 of the family's 1533-position model. The record is from RNAcentral.
UACAGAGGUCCCAAGCGUUGUUCGGAUUUACUGGGCGUAAAGGGUGCGUAGGCGGUUGGGUAAGUCUGACGUGAAAUCUCCGGGCCUAACCCGGAAACUGCGUUGGAUACUACCUGACUAGAGGAAUGGAGGGGAGACUGGAAUACUUGGUGUAGCAGUGAAAUGCGUAGAUAUCAAGUGGAACACCAGUGGCGAAGGCGAGUCUCUGGACAUUUCCUGACGCUGAGGCACGAAAGCCAGGGGAGCAAACGGG